RNAcentral lists this ribosomal RNA (279 nucleotides) under uncultured bacterium. Its description in RNAcentral is "partial 16S ribosomal RNA". It matches the Rfam family "Bacterial small subunit ribosomal RNA", at positions 506 to 784 of the family's 1533-position model. The record is from RNAcentral.
UGCCAGCCGCCGCGGUAAUACGGAGGGUGCAAGCGUUGUUCGGAAUUACUGGGCGUAAAGCGCGCGUAGGCGGUUGUAUAAGUCAGAUGUGAAAGUCCAUGGCUCAACCAUGGAAGUGCAUUUGAAACUGUAUAACUUGAGUACUGGAGGGGGUGGUGGAAUUCCCGGUGUAGAGGUGAAAUUCGUAGAUAUCGGGAGGAAUACCGGUGGCGAAGGCGACCACCUGGCCAGAUACUGACGCUGAGGUGCGAAAGCGUGGGGAGCAAACAGGAUUAGAUA